Molecule: long non-coding RNA, 275 nt
Filed under: Brassica rapa (field mustard)
Lineage: Eukaryota; Viridiplantae; Streptophyta; Magnoliopsida; Brassicales; Brassicaceae
Description: long non-coding RNA (BRAP_LNC002881)
Source: RNAcentral
AAAAAGUCAGGUAGGUAUUAUUUAAAAUAAAAAAUAAUUACACUUGUAUGCAUUGUCAAGAUUUUUAAUCGACUAAAUCAAGUAUAGUUAAGCAUCACGUUUAUGAAUUAUAUGACCAAAUAAAAUAAUUUUGACUUGAAACAACAAAUGUUUUAUCAACUACUUAAAAUAACAAAAGGUAUACGUGAUUUACUGAAUUUCACACAGUUUACAAAAUUUACCAAAAACUACAGUAACUAAAAGAUUAAUCCAAAUAGCUAAUUUUUAUGCCCUUU